RNAcentral lists this ribosomal RNA (306 nucleotides) under uncultured bacterium. RNAcentral's name for it is "bacterial SSU rRNA". It matches the Rfam family "Bacterial small subunit ribosomal RNA", at positions 28 to 334 of the family's 1533-position model. The record is from RNAcentral.
GGCGAACGCUGGCGGCGUGCUUAACACAUGCAAGUCGAACGGAAAGGCCCUGCUUUUGUGGGGUGCUCGAGUGGCGAACGGGUGAGUAAUACAUCGGAACGUGCCCCUGUAGUGGGGGAUAACUAGUCGAAAGAUUAGCUAAUACCGCAUACGACCUGAGGGUGAAAGUGGGGACCGCAAGGCCUCAUGCUAUAGGAGCGGCCGAUGUCUGAUUAGCUAGUUGGUGAGGUAAAGGCUCACCAAGGCGACGAUCAGUAGCUGGUCUGAGAGGACGAUCAGCCACACUGGGACUGAGACACGGCCCAG